RNAcentral lists this non-coding RNA (23 nucleotides) under Cricetulus griseus (Chinese hamster). The record is from RNAcentral. Lineage: Eukaryota; Metazoa; Chordata; Mammalia; Rodentia; Cricetidae.
UUUGUUCAACGAUUAAAGUCCUA